Molecule: ribosomal RNA, 428 nt
Filed under: uncultured bacterium
Lineage: Bacteria
Description: bacterial SSU rRNA
Rfam family: Bacterial small subunit ribosomal RNA
Source: RNAcentral
AGUGAACGCUGGCGGCAGGCCUAACACAUGCAAGUCGAGCGGCAGCGCGUCCGACCACCCUCGGGUGGUCGGAUGGCGACGAGCGGCGGACGGGUGAGGAAUGCAUCGGAAUCUGCCUCGUUGUGGGGGAUAACGUAGGGAAACUUACGCUAAUACCGCAUACGACCUACGGGUGAAAGUGGGGGACCUUCGGGCCUCACGCGAUGAGAUGAGCCGAUGCCGGAUUAGCUAGUUGGCGGGGUAAAGGCCCACCAAGGCGACGAUCCGUAGCUGGUCUGAGAGGAUGAUCAGCCACACUGGAACUGAGACACGGUCCAGACUCCUACGGGAGGCAGCAGUGGGGAAUAUUGCGCAAUGGGCGAAAGCCUGACGCAGCAACGCCGUGUGAGGGAUGAAAGGGCUUUCGGGUCGGUAAACCUCUGUCAGAA